CUUUUUGUCUUGAUAACUUAAUGGUUAAAGUAUAACACUGAAGUUGUUAAUAAAGUGGGUUCAAUUCCUCUUCAAGACA
This 79-nucleotide transfer RNA is filed under the name Schizosaccharomyces japonicus. Its description in RNAcentral is "tRNA-Phe". It matches the Rfam family "tRNA". Rfam says of the family: Transfer RNA (tRNA) molecules are approximately 80 nucleotides in length. Their secondary structure includes four short double-helical elements and three loops (D, anti-codon, and T loops). Further hydrogen bonds mediate the characteristic L-shaped molecular structure. tRNAs have two regions of fundamental functional importance: the anti-codon, which is responsible for specific mRNA codon recognition, and the 3' end, to which the tRNAs corresponding amino acid is attached (by aminoacyl-tRNA synthetases). tRNAs cope with the degeneracy of the genetic code in two manners: having more than one tRNA (with a specific anti-codon) for a particular amino acid; and 'wobble' base-pairing, i.e. permitting non-standard base-pairing at the 3rd anti-codon position. Lineage: Eukaryota; Fungi; Ascomycota; Schizosaccharomycetes; Schizosaccharomycetales; Schizosaccharomycetaceae. The record is from RNAcentral.